CCUGACUGCUAUCGGAUUGAUACUAAGCCAUGCGAGUCAUUGCAGUAAUGCAAGGCAGACGGCUCAGUAACGCGUAGUCAACCUACCCUAUGGACGGGAAUAACCUCGGGAAACUGAGUAUAAUGCCCGAUAGAACACUAUACCUGGAAUGGUUUGUGUUCCAAAUGAAUGUCGCCGUAGGAUGGGACUGCGGCCUAUCAGUUUGUUGGUGAGGUAAUGGCCCACCAAGACUAUUACAGGUACGGGCUCUGAGAGGAGUAGCCCGGAGAUGGGUACUGAGACACGGACCCAGGCCCUAUGGGGCGCAGCAGGCGAGAAAACUUUGCAAUGUGCGAAAGCACGACAGGGUUAAUCCGAGUGGUUUGUGCUAAACGAACCUUUUGACAGUCCUAGAAACACUGUUGAAUAAGGGGUGGGCAAGUUCUGGUGUCAGCCGCCGCGGUAAAACCAGCACCUCAAGUGGUCAGGAUGAUUAUUGGGCCUAAAGCAUCCGUAGCCGGCUCUGUAAGUUUUCGGUUAAAUCUGUACGCUCAACGUACAGGCUGCCGGGAAUACUGCAGAGCUAGGGAGUGGGAGAGGUAGACGGUACUCGGUAGGAAGGGGUAAAAUCCUUUGAUCUAUUGAUGACCACCUGUGGCGAAGGCGGUCUACCAGAACACGUCCGACGGUGAGGGAUGAAAGCUGGGGGAGCAAACCGGAUUAGAUACCCGGGUAGUCCCAGCUGUAACUAUGCAAACUCAGUGAUGCAUUGGC
This 753-nucleotide ribosomal RNA is filed under the name uncultured bacterium. RNAcentral's name for it is "bacterial SSU rRNA". It matches the Rfam family "Archaeal small subunit ribosomal RNA", at positions 21 to 783 of the family's 1478-position model. The record is from RNAcentral.